This 302-nucleotide ribosomal RNA is filed under the name Oxyrrhis marina. RNAcentral describes it as "partial Bacterial small subunit ribosomal RNA". It matches the Rfam family "Bacterial small subunit ribosomal RNA", at positions 463 to 764 of the family's 1533-position model. The record is from RNAcentral. Lineage: Eukaryota; Dinophyceae; Oxyrrhinales; Oxyrrhinaceae.
CGGACGAUGACAUUAGCUGCAGAAUAAGCACCGGCUAACUCUGUGCCAGCAGCCGCGGUAAUACAGAGGGGGCAAGCGUUGUUCGGAAUUACUGGGCGUAAAGGGCGCGUAGGCGGUAAGCAUAGUCAGGUGUGAAAUCCCCGGGCUCAACCUGGGAAUGGCGCUUGUGACUGCACGGCUGGAGUGCGGCAGAGGGGGAUGGAAUUCCGCGUGUAGCAGUGAAAUGCGUAGAUAUGCGGAGGAACACCGAUGGCGAAGGCAGCCCCCUGGGCCUGUACUGACGCUCAUGCACGAAAGCGUGG